Molecule: long non-coding RNA, 978 nt
Filed under: Sus scrofa (pig)
Lineage: Eukaryota; Metazoa; Chordata; Mammalia; Artiodactyla; Suidae
Description: lncRNA (ENSSSCG00055009530.1)
Source: RNAcentral
GUCCCAAGGUCAAGAAGCUCUCUCUGGACUGCAUUCUUUGUGGAGUGGAGACCGGCUCCCUAAACAGAAAGGAGGAGUUAAUGGAUGUUGGGUGCCAAUGGAGAGCCUGCUGCAGAAGCUCUGGGAUGACGCCUCUGAAAAAAAAUGGCAUUUAAACUUAAGAUGAGUGAGGGUCAGCAAGGAGCAAGGAGGAUGUACCUUCAGGCAGAGAGAGCCACGUGUGUGGCCUGUCUGUGCCCCGGGUUACAAGAUGUUCGUGCCAUUUCUCAUUUACUGCAUUGACCCCAAAAGGGAUCAGCGGAGAGGGAUGUGGCACGCGAGAAGCCACUGUCCCCUGGGAAAGAAGGGAGAAUGGUGCUCUCAACGCUGGGCCUGAAGGAUUGUGUGAGACACAGCGGUCUCAGCAGUCCCGCCUGCCGUCCCCAUGGUUGUAAAGCCCAGGUGAACUCUGUCAGCAACCUCAGCCUCCUCUGGAGGGAGGACCAGCGCACACGGCCUCCGUGACACCCACUGUAGAGGGAGCUUCAGUGGUUGCAGCUCCCAGGUCCGACCUGACUGGACCCACAGAGCUCUGGCUUCCCUCGCUGCUUCCUGGGGGGCCUGAAACACAUCCUAGAGAGACAGUGGCGCUAAUGUCCUAUGGAAGUGCCUCUGACCAUUGAGAGCCAGGAGCCAGGAGCCAGGAAGAAGCCAGCAGAUGAUUGCUCUCCCUUCCUGCCCACCCAGGAGCUGUUCCGAGAUCCAAGGAUAACAGGCCUUAAUUAAGAAGUAGCGCGUGAGCUUGGCCUCAGGCUGCUUUCUGGAGAACCCAGGCGACGGUGAGACCUUCUGACCCUUUACCUUCCAUCCUUCAGUCUGCUGCGCGCUGUUACUUCGCUUCAGGUUCCUGGGGAAGCAGUGCGGCCUCAGCGAGGGAGGAGUUUCAGGAGGGUGAGGACGGUGUUGUUACAUAGAUGAAAUGUUUCAGGAAGAAGUCCU